Molecule: small nuclear RNA, 126 nt
Organism: Ursus americanus (American black bear)
Lineage: Eukaryota; Metazoa; Chordata; Mammalia; Carnivora; Ursidae
Gene: U4
Rfam family: U4 spliceosomal RNA
About the family: U4 small nuclear RNA (U4 snRNA) is a component of the major U2-dependent spliceosome. The structure of U4 snRNA from yeast and human has been reported. U4 snRNA presents a k-turn RNA motif in the 5p-SL related to recognition of Snu13 protein.
Source: Ensembl
AGCUUUGCGCAGUAGCAGUAUCGUAGCCAAUGACGUUUAUCCGAGGCGCGAUUAUUGCUAUUUGAAAACUUUUCCCAAUGAAUAUUUGUAUUUCAGUUAAAGGCACAUUGUUAGUUUUACAGAAAA